AUUGAACGCUGGCGGCAUGCCUUACACAUGCAAGUCGAACGGUAACAGGUCUUCGGACGCUGACGAGUGGCGAACGGGUGAGUAAUACAUCGGAACGUGCCUAGUAGUGGGGGAUAACUACUCGAAAGAGUGGCUAAUACCGCAUGAGAUCUACGGAUGAAAGCAGGGGAUUGCAAGACCUUGUGCUACUUGAGCGGCCGAUGGCAGAUUAGGUAGUUGGUGGGAUAAAAGCUUACCAAGCCGACGAUCUGUAGCUGGUCUGAGAGGACGAUCAGCCACACUGGGACUGAGAAACGGCCCAGACUCCUACGGGAGGAAGCAGUGGGGAAUUUUGGACAAUGGGCGCAAGCCUGAUCCAGCAAUGCCGCGUGCAGGAUGAAGGCCUUCGGGUUGUAAACUGCUUUUGUACGGAACGAAAAGCCCCGGGUUAAUACCCUGGGGUCAUGACGGUACCGUAAGAAUAAGCACCGGCUAACUACGUGCCAGCCGCCGCCGUAA
Molecule: ribosomal RNA, 498 nt
Filed under: uncultured bacterium
Lineage: Bacteria
Description: partial 16S ribosomal RNA
Rfam family: Bacterial small subunit ribosomal RNA
Source: RNAcentral